UCACUCCAACCCCUGUGACAUACCUAUACGUUGCCUCGGCGGAUCAGCCCGCGCCCCGUAAAAAGGGACGGCCCGCCCGAGGACCCCUAAACUCUGUUUUUAGUGGAACUUCUGAGUAAAACAAACAAAUAAAUCAAAACUUUCAACAACGGAUCUCUUGGUUCUGGCAUCGAUGAAGAACGCAGCAAAAUGCGAUAAGUAAUGUGAAUUGCAGAAUUCAGUGAAUCAUCGAAUCUUUGAACGCACAUUGCGCCCGCCAGUAUUCUGGCGGGCAUGCCUGUUCGAGCGUCAUUUCAACCCUCAAGCUCAGCUUGGUGUUGGGACUCGCGGUAACCCGCGUUCCCCAAAUCGAUUGGCGGUCACGUCGAGCUUCCAUAGCGUAGUAAUCAUACACCUCGUUACUGGUAAUCGUCGCGGCCACGCCGUAAAACCCCAACUUCUGAAUGUUGACCUCGGAUCAGGUAGGAAUACCCGCUGAACUUAAGCAUAUCAAUAAGCGGAGGA
This 504-nucleotide ribosomal RNA is filed under the name Fusarium chlamydosporum. Its description in RNAcentral is "eukaryotic LSU rRNA". The stretch from base 138 to 291 matches the Rfam family "5.8S ribosomal RNA". Lineage: Eukaryota; Fungi; Ascomycota; Sordariomycetes; Hypocreales; Nectriaceae. The record is from RNAcentral.